UGCAGGCUGCAACUCGCCUGCAUGAAGCUGGAAUUGCUAGUAAUCGCGGAUCAGCAAGCCGCGGUGAAUACGUUCCCGGGCCUUGUACACACCGCCCGUCACACCAUGAGAGCCGGGAACACCCGAAGUCCGUAGUCUAACCUAUAUGGAGGACGCGGCCGAAGGUGGGUUUGGUAAUUGGGGUGAAGUCGUAACAAGGUAAC
RNAcentral lists this ribosomal RNA (203 nucleotides) under uncultured bacterium. RNAcentral's name for it is "partial 16S ribosomal RNA". It matches the Rfam family "Bacterial small subunit ribosomal RNA", at positions 1299 to 1500 of the family's 1533-position model. The record is from RNAcentral.